AUGGCGGGGCGGAGCUACCAUGCAGUCGAGCGGUAACAGAUCCAGCUUGCUGGAUGCUGACGAGCGGCGGACGGGUGAGUAAUGCAUAGGAAUCUGCCCGAUAGUGGGGGAUAACCUGGGGAAACCCAGGCUAAUACCGCAUACGUCCUACGGGAGAAAGGGGGCUUCGGCUCCCGCUAUCGGAUGAGCCUAUGUCGGAUUAGCUAGUUGGUGAGGUAACGGCUCACCAAGGCCACGAUCCGUAGCUGGUCUGAGAGGAUGAUCAGCCACAUCGGGACUGAGACACGGCCCGAACUCCUACGGGAGGCAGCAGUGGGGAAUAUUGGACAAUGGGGGGAACCCUGAUCCAGCCAUGCCGCGUGUGUGAAGAAGGCCCUCGGGUUGUAAAGCACUUUCAGCGAGGAAGAACGCCUAGCGGUUAAUACCCGCUAGGAAAGACAUCACUCGCAGAAGAAGCACCGGCUAACUCCGUGCCAGCAGCCGCGGUAAUACGGAGGGUGCAAGCGUUAAUCGGAAUUACUGGGCGUAAAGCGCGCGUAGGUGGCUUGAUAAGCCGGUUGUGAAAGCCCCGGGCUCAACCUGGGAACGGCAUCCGGAACUGUCAAGCUAGAGUGCAGGAGAGGAAGGUAGAAUUCCCGGUGUAGCGGUGAAAUGCGUAGAGAUCGGGAGGAAUACCAGUGGCGAAGGCGGCCUUCUGGACUGACACUGACACUGAGGUGCGAAAGCGUGGGUAGCAAACAGGAUUAGAUAUCUUUGGUAGUC
Molecule: ribosomal RNA, 762 nt
Filed under: Vreelandella aquamarina
Lineage: Bacteria; Pseudomonadati; Pseudomonadota; Gammaproteobacteria; Oceanospirillales; Halomonadaceae
Description: bacterial SSU rRNA
Rfam family: Bacterial small subunit ribosomal RNA
Source: RNAcentral